AAGAAGAAGAGGAAGAAGACAGUUUGUGUUUGACAGCGAGAGGGAGAGAAAGAAAGUGAGAGAGAAUGACGAAGAGGAAGAUGAUGAGCGGCGAAGAAUCGAAGUGGAUGAUGGAGAUACUCAACGCCGGAGACCAACGCCCCUUCGAUGAACUCCUCGCCGACUUCAACUCCAAAUUCCCCCCUCGCCUUCUCCUCCGCCGUUUUCACCUCUCAUCUUCUCUCUCCAUUCUCCUAGAGAACAAAAAGACUCUGAAAUCUACUCAGCGAUUGGUUGCAUUUGCCAUUCUCCAUCACUCUUACUCUGCCCAGCAUCCUUCCUCAAACCCAUUCAUAUCUUUUCUCGUUAAUGCUGCUUGUGAUGAAGAAGCUGAAAAAUAUGAAAGAGCAUUUAUUCUGCAGCUACUAGGCUCCUCCAACAAUGCCAAUUUUAAAGAGGUUCUCAAAUUGUCAGCUGCAGACUACAUCAAAGUCUUUGAUCCUUCAUCAAUUGCUUUCCUGCAACAUGAACAGUUAAAGCUUCAGUAUUGUUUCAAAGUUAAUGUGGACCCAUUUAAGCACUUAAUCAAACAGAAUUAUGUGAAAAACGUUGUACCUGACCCUGAUAUGCCUCAAGGUUGUGAUGAAAAUUCACCAGAGUAUGACCCUUACCUGUUUGAACUGCAGCCUGGAGUUAAACCAAAAAUUGGAUCUGGAGACAGAGAUGAGAUGGUAACUGGGUUGCUGCAGAAUUUAUCUCUGGAAGGAGUAGGUCCUCAGUGGAUUAGACCUCUUCCACCAAGGCUCCCAGUAUUGGAUGGAGAGCUUGUGUGGCUCAACCCUGAAAAUAAUCAUGAGUUUUUAUGGGAUCAUGGAAUGUGUGCUGACACUAGCAGAGGGGCUGCUGUUAGGGAUCUAAUUGCAAAAGCUUUGAAGGGGGCACUUGCUCCUGCUCAGCAUGAGCAAGUGUUGGUUGAAUUGACAAAUGACCCGAAGCUUGUUUACCACUGUGGCUUGACUCCAAGAAAGCUACCGGAACUGGUGGAGAACAAUCCCCUCAUUGCAGUUGAAGUGCUCAUUAAGUUGAUGAAUUCUCCUGAAAUUUCCGAAUACUUCAUUGUUCUUGUCAAUAUGGACAUGAGUCUACAUUCAAUGGAAGUUGUGAAUAGGCUUACUACAGCUGUUGAGCUUCCUACAGAAUUUGUACACAUGUACAUAACAAAUUGCAUAUCAUCUUGUGAAAAUAUCAAGGAUAAAUACAUGCAGAACAGACUUGUGAGACUUGUGUGUGUUUUCCUACAGAGCCUAAUCCGGAACAAAAUUAUCAAUGAUGAUGCGGAAACUUAAUAAAGGUGACCCAGAAAAUGAAUAAGUUGAAGGCAUUAAUGGCUGUCCAGUUGGGGAAAGCAGUUCAAGAUCUUUUCAUUGAGGUUCAAGCAUUCUGCAUCGAGUUCUCCAGGAUCCGAGAAGCAGCUGGACUGUUUAGGCUUCUUAAAACCAUGGAGUGAACCGACGUCUUCCUUGACUUUCUUCCGUUGCUUGUUAGUUCAAGUCGACUUUCUUUCUUUCCCCUCUUUCUCCUUGAUGUAUCUUUUCUUGUUAGCAAUGGUAACAGAUGUUAGUUGUUGCAGUAGUAACUAGUAGGGUAGUAAGUAGUAGUAGUAGGUCCUUGGGACUUCUUGUUUUAACAGAAAAUCUCAAACCUCAGUACACAAUGGCUCUGCUGUUAAGAAGAGAUAAUAUGCUGCUGCUGCUGCUGCUUUUGGAUUUAAUCAGGCUCAGGCCGCCGCAUGCUCUGCAUUUAAUGUGUGUGUACAUAUAUUGUGGCCUCUCUUUCAAUAACAAAAAUGAUGUGGCAUACUGCUUUUGGAUUAA
Molecule: RNA transcript, 1853 nt
Organism: Diospyros lotus (date-plum)
Lineage: Eukaryota; Viridiplantae; Streptophyta; Magnoliopsida; Ericales; Ebenaceae
Exons: 13
Source: RefSeq, a predicted model, not a curated record